GUAUCUUCGCGUUCCUCGCGCCGAAGCAGCAUUGCGCAUGUCAGACCCGAGUACCGGCAUCCGAAACAUCCGGUGACAGCGUUUUGUGGUGCAGUGUUUGGUAAUGAACCCUUGCUCGAUUUUUUUAACAAAAGUGAAAAAGCAGUCAUGCUUGGUGCUAAUUGUGCUGUAUAUGGAUGCAGUGCAUGCAAAGGAAGGAACCGGGGCCUGUCAUUUUUUUCCAUUCGGCAACGAAAAAAACAAAAUUCCGAAUGGGAACAGGCUCUUAUUCAUUCUGUUAACAGAUGCGACAAGAGUUUUAACAUUGAAAGGGCGACUAUAUGCUCUCGGCAUUUUGCCCCAGAAUGUAUCAUCACAACAGCUGUUGGAAAACGUUCAUUGGUACCAGGCAGCCUGCCAACCUUACUAAUACCACCAAGAAGUGUAGAAACUCCAAAGUCUCAACCUAGGAAACCUCCAGUCAGUAGAAACCAAGAUUUAGCAUGAGAAGUUUUAGGUGUGGGGAUGGAGGAGGGGCAAGAAAUAAUGUGUUUCAGGAGUCUCUGUUUACAGCCAAUUCUAAUUUAUAAUUUUUUUCUGGGGUAAUCAUAAAGCAGCUGAAAAACUAUUCAGUAUGCUCCAGCUUGAAUAUGCUAAAAAUAAUAAUCAUAAUUAUGAUGUGUAAGUGUAGUCUAUGUAUAUCAUAAAACGCCUGCUGUGUAAAUACCACACAAACUUAACCACCACAAUCUGAUUUUUUCCCCCUCAUUUCUUACCAACAAUUGUUCCUGUUUUUACACCACCAUCAUUAGUUAUCAUCUUCACGUCAGUUUAAUAUCUCUCAUCACAAUAACAACCUCAGUUGUCACUCAUCACUCAUUUCUAAUAAUAGUUCUGCUCAUCAUCCAGCAUUGCUCAUCUCAUGACUUUCAAAUUUUGUGUGCUUGUUUCAACCGUUUUCUGGUUCCCUUUUCUCUCUUUUCCUUUUUUGAACGCCGAUAAAAGUCAUCCAUAAAUGUCUUGCACUUGUGGUCUUGAAAUAAAUGUAUAUCACAUCC
Molecule: long non-coding RNA, 1037 nt
Organism: Pomacea canaliculata
Lineage: Eukaryota; Metazoa; Mollusca; Gastropoda; Architaenioglossa; Ampullariidae
Exons: 2
Source: RefSeq, a predicted model, not a curated record